Molecule: ribosomal RNA, 1447 nt
Filed under: uncultured organism
Description: SSU rRNA
Rfam family: Bacterial small subunit ribosomal RNA
Source: RNAcentral
AACGCUAGCUACAGGCUUAACACAUGCAAGUCGAGGGGCAUCAGGAAGAAAGCUUGCUUUCUUUGCUGGCGACCGGCGCACGGGUGAGUAACACGUAUCCAACCUGCCCUUUACUCGGGGAUAGCCUUUCGAAAGAAAGAUUAAUACCCGAUAGCAUAAUGAUUCCGCAUGGUUUCAUUAUUAAAGGAUUCCGGUAAAGGAUGGGGAUGCGUUCCAUUAGGUUGUUGGUGAGGUAACGGCCCACCAAGCCUUCGAUGGAUAGGGGUUCUGAGAGGAAGGUCCCCCACAUUGGAACUGAGACACGGUCCAAACUCCUACGGGAGGCAGCAGUGAGGAAUAUUGGUCAAUGGGCGCUAGCCUGAACCAGCCAAGUAGCGUGAAGGAUGAAGGCUCUAUGGGUCGUAAACUUCUUUUAUAUAAGAAUAAAGUGCAGUAUGUAUACUGUUUUGUAUGUAUUAUAUGAAUAAGGAUCGGCUAACUCCGUGCCAGCAGCCGCGGUAAUACGGAGGAUCCGAGCGUUAUCCGGAUUUAUUGGGUUUAAAGGGAGCGUAGGUGGACUGGUAAGUCAGUUGUGAAAGUUUGCGGCUCAACCGUAAAAUUGCAGUUGAUACUGUCAGUCUUGAGUACAGUAGAGGUGGGCGGAAUUCGUGGUGUAGCGGUGAAAUGCUUAGAUAUCACGAAGAACUCCGAUUGCGAAGGCAGCUCACUGGACUGCAACUGACACUGAUGCUCGAAAGUGUGGGUAUCAAACAGGAUUAGAUACCCUGGUAGUCCACACAGUAAACGAUGAAUACUCGCUGUUUGCGAUAUACAGUAAGCGGCCAAGCGAAAGCAUUAAGUAUUCCACCUGGGGAGUACGCCGGCAACGGUGAAACUCAAAGGAAUUGACGGGGGCCCGCACAAGCGGAGGAACAUGUGGUUUAAUUCGAUGAUACGCGAGGAACCUUACCCGGGCUUAAAUUGCAGUGGAAUGAUGUGGAAACAUGUCAGUGAGCAAUCACCGCUGUGAAGGUGCUGCAUGGUUGUCGUCAGCUCGUGCCGUGAGGUGUCGGCUUAAGUGCCAUAACGAGCGCAACCCUUAUCUUUAGUUACUAACAGGUUAUGCUGAGGACUCUAGAGAGACUGCCGUCGUAAGAUGUGAGGAAGGUGGGGAUGACGUCAAAUCAGCACGGCCCUUACGUCCGGGGCUACACACGUGUUACAAUGGGGGGGUACAGAAGGCAGCUAGCGGGUGACCGUAUGCUAAUCCCAAAAUCCUCUCUCAGUUCGGAUCGAAGUCUGCAACCCGACUUCGUGAAGCUGGAUUCGCUAGUAAUCGCGCAUCAGCCACGGCGCGGUGAAUACGUUCCCGGGCCUUGUACACACCGCCCGUCAAGCCAUGGGAGCCGGGGGUACCUGAAGUACGUAACCGCAAGGAUCGUCCUAGGGUAAAACUGGUGACUGGGGC